RNAcentral lists this ribosomal RNA (851 nucleotides) under Xanthoparmelia aff. chlorochroa. RNAcentral's name for it is "eukaryotic LSU rRNA". It matches the Rfam family "Eukaryotic large subunit ribosomal RNA", at positions 71 to 937 of the family's 3401-position model. The record is from RNAcentral. Lineage: Eukaryota; Fungi; Ascomycota; Lecanoromycetes; Lecanorales; Parmeliaceae.
GGGAUUGCCUCAGUAACGGCGAGUGAAGCGGCAACAGCUCAAAUUUGAAAUCUGGCUCCUUCGGGGUCCGAAUUGUAAUUUGUAGAGAGUGCUUCGGGCGAGACCUCGGUCUAAGUCCAUUGGAACAUGGUGUCAUAGAGGGUGAGAAUCCCGUAUGCGACCGUGGCUCGAGCCCAUGUGAAGCCUCUUCGACGAGUCGAGUUGUUUGGGAAUGCAGCUCAAAAUGGGUGGUAAAUUUCAUCUAAAGCUAAAUACUGGCUGGAGACCGAUAGCGCACAAGUAGAGUGAUCGAAAGAUGAAAAGCACUUUGGAAAGAGAGUCAAACAGUACGUGAAAUUGUUGAAAGGGAAGCGCUUGCAACCAGACCUGCCCGUAGGCGAUCAGCCGCUGUUCUCAGCGGUGUACUCGCUCUGCGAUCAGGCCAGCAUCGGUUUCGGCGGUCGGAUAAAGACCUUGGGAAUGUAGCUUCCCUUCGGGGAAGUCUUAUAGCCCUCGGUGUAAUGCGGCCAGCCGGGACCGAGGACCGCGCUUCGGCUAGGAUGCUGGCGUAAUGGUUGUAAGCGACCCGUCUUGAAACACGGACCAAGGAGUCUAACAUCUAUGCGAGUGUUUGGGUGUCAAACCCAUACGCGGAAUGAAAGUGAACGGAGGUGAGAACCCUUAAGGGCGCAUCAUCGACCGAUCCAGAUGUCUUCGGAUGGAUUUGAGUAUGAGCAUAGCUGUUGGGACCCGAAAGAUGGUGAACUAUGCCUGAAUAGGGUGAAGCCAGAGGAAACUCUGGUGGAGGCUCGYAGMKGUKCUGACGUGCAAAUCGMUYKUCRRAYUUGGGUAUAGGGGCGAAAGACUAAUCG